This is a non-coding RNA of Gossypium hirsutum (cotton), 143 nucleotides long. The record is from Rfam. NCBI's taxonomy places the organism in Eukaryota, Viridiplantae, Streptophyta, Magnoliopsida, Malvales, Malvaceae.
UAUUAAAAUUUUCUUUCAUUUUUACCAUUAAAAAUUAGUGUAGAUGUCAAAAUAAUCAGACAGUUGCAUGUAUGUGCCACAUGUACUUCAUGUUGACGCACAAAACCCAAUUUUUAACGAUAAAAAUGGAAGAAAUUUGACUA